GACGGAGACAAGGGCGAGACAGGAGGACCAGGCCAGAAGGGCAGUAAAGGAGACAAAGGAGAAUCUGGCCCUUCAGGACCUAUUGGAAUCCAGGGACCUGUCGGCYAUCCAGGGUUACCRGUACGUCUAUUCAAUGUAUCUGUCUUUAUUGUGUGUCUGUGUGAACUGCAUGUGUGUACAGCACUGACCYCUGUGUGUGUUUCAG
Salvelinus sp. IW2-2015 is the source of this 205-nucleotide long non-coding RNA. RefSeq lists it as uncharacterized. The record is from RefSeq and is a predicted model, not a curated record. NCBI's taxonomy places the organism in Eukaryota, Metazoa, Chordata, Actinopteri, Salmoniformes, Salmonidae.